GCCCGUUUGCGCCGAUGGUACUGCACCUCGUGGGAGAGUAGGACAUCGCCUUUU
RNAcentral lists this ribosomal RNA (54 nucleotides) under Gelidibacter sediminis. The record is from RNAcentral. Lineage: Bacteria; Pseudomonadati; Bacteroidota; Flavobacteriia; Flavobacteriales; Flavobacteriaceae.